GUUAUAUACAAUUUGGUGAAUCAGCUUGUUCAUGUUAAAAAUGAAAAUUAAUGUGUUAGAUUUAAUUGAAGCUCUAAGAGGAUCUAAAUUUAUAUAUGAUAAAUUUGAUGAAAGUUACAAGGAUUCACGCAAAAAAUCAGAAUUUUGGAUAAAUUUAGGCCUACAAUUUGGUGAAUCAGGUGAUGAGUUAAAGGCUAGAUGGAACAAUCUAAGAGAUUACCAAAAUAAAGAAUAUAAAAAAACUUUGGAUAAACCUAGUGGUUCAGCAGGACCACCAUAUAUAUCUGUAUGGCCGUAUUAUGAAGCAUUAUCUUUUUUAAACAAAACAUUAACAUCUAGAACACAAAUAUCCAACAUAACCAUAUCAAAUUCCACUCCGCUGUAUGAUAUCACCACAGAAACCAAUGAUUUGACAAUCAGGAUAACAAUCUUCAAAUAGAAAAAACGUUAAACAACAAAUUGGUACAAAACUUUUUAAGAAACAUAAAGAUGGGAACUUAUCAUACAAAAUAAAUACUGGAAAUAACAUUAUUAGUAGACAUCUAGACCAGAUAAAAAAGCGAUCAAUGAACAUUAUUCCAAAUAAAAAUAUGACAACACAUUUCAAAGAAAUAAAUUAUGAUAAUAAAUAUAAAAAUUCUACAACAAACCUACAGGUUUUUAGAAGGGAAGAAGUAAAGAACUGAUUCAAAAUCAAGAUCAAGUACAAGAUCAAAUUCAAGAUCAAAAUAACUAUUUAAGACCUGAAAGAUUCUUAAUUAUAAAUAAAUAUUAAAUAAAUUUUUUUUUACUUUAGUAUAUACAUAAGAAAAUUUUUGAAAUUGAUGAAAUAUUGAUGAUCUGAUCAAAGACAUUACUGAAUAAAUGAUGAGAUAGCAAUUGACAAAUAAUGGAAAUUUGGAAUGAUUACGAUCAAGCAGCUAAAUACCAACGCGUGACUAUCCAAUCAACAAGCCAUGUAAUAAAAGAGGGAAAUGUUAAAAUGAACCAAACUAAAAUUUUGGUUAUCAUUUUUUGAUUAAACACUAAAGGUUAUUCAAAGUGUAAAAUAAUUUAGUUUUUGUAAAAAUGUUUUACCUUAAAAUAAUUUGUUUAAAAGUUUCUUUUACCUUAAAAUAUAUAUUAAACCUUGUAUAGUUUUUUUUUAUACUUUUGUAUAUUUUGUACAUUCAUAUUAAUCAUUAUAACAAAUGUAUCCUCAACGAAAAUUUAUAA
Long non-coding RNA from Gordionus sp. m RMFG-2023, 1215 nucleotides. RefSeq lists it as uncharacterized. The record is from RefSeq and is a predicted model, not a curated record. Lineage: Eukaryota; Metazoa; Nematomorpha; Gordioida; Chordodea; Parachordodidae. The transcript is spliced from 3 exons.